UCGAGUUUGACGAGGGUUCGAUGCUGGCCUUUCGAGGCAUGUGCUCGCCCCGCUCAUCCAUCUCACCCCUGUGCACCUCCUGUGGGCUCUGGUUGACGGGUUGGAAACGACCUGAGAUGCCGUCCCAUGUUUUUUACACACACUACUAGUUCAGAAUGUAACUCUGCGUAUAACGCAUAUUAAAUA
This 186-nucleotide unclassified non-coding RNA is filed under the name uncultured Basidiomycota. Its description in RNAcentral is "sequence contains ITS1". The record is from RNAcentral. Lineage: Eukaryota; Fungi; Basidiomycota.